This 386-nucleotide ribosomal RNA is filed under the name uncultured bacterium. Its description in RNAcentral is "bacterial SSU rRNA". It matches the Rfam family "Bacterial small subunit ribosomal RNA", at positions 29 to 417 of the family's 1533-position model. The record is from RNAcentral.
AGCGAACGUUUGCGGCGGGCCUAACACAUGCAAGUCGAACGCACUAGCAAUAGUGAGUGGCGCACGGGUGCGUAACACGUGGGUAAUCAACCCUUCAGCCUGGGAUAACGACUCGAAAGGGUCGCUAAUACCGGAUACGGCGCGAGAGGGCUUCGGCUUCUCACGAGAAAGCCACGCAAGGGGCACUGAAGGACGAGCCUGCGGCCCAUCAGCUAGUUGGUGAGGUAAGAGCUCACCAAGGCUAAGACGGGUAGCUGGUCUGAGAGGAUGAUCAGCCACACUGGAACUGAGACACGGUCCAGACUCCUACGGGAGGCAGCAGUGGGGGAAUAUUGCGCAAUGGGCGAAAGCCUGACGCAGCCACGCCGCGUGAGCGAUGAAGGCCU